UGCAAAUGAUGUUAAAUUUUUGCUAAAUACAAUUGAUGACAACCACCAAGAUCGCUGAUGCA
Molecule: small nucleolar RNA, 62 nt
Filed under: Falco tinnunculus (common kestrel)
Lineage: Eukaryota; Metazoa; Chordata; Aves; Falconiformes; Falconidae
Description: Small nucleolar RNA SNORD24 (ENSFTIG00000003092.1)
Rfam family: Small nucleolar RNA SNORD24
About the family: U24 is a member of the C/D class of snoRNA which contain the C (UGAUGA) and D (CUGA) box motifs.
Source: Rfam by way of RNAcentral